UCAUCUCUUCUAGAUAUUGGCAUUCUAUGAAAGAUUGCAUUAGCUUUGAAGAUUUAUAUGACUACAACCAAAUGCUUCAAUGCAGAAAGUAAACAUGUUCUCCAAUAAUCUAAUCCAUGUAAUACCCCAAUGCCACUUGUCAUGGAUCGCAGACAAAAGGGUGCUCCAAAGGCACCUUGCCCCCCUAGACUAAAUGUAUCUAGUAUAAACACCAACUGAACAGUCAUCUUGUAUCAAUACAGUAGACUUACCAACUCUGCCAGUUGGCAUCCUUCAUUUUCAUUCAAGUAUUUAAAAAUCAUUAUUUGAAAAAUGUGACUGAGAAAGGAAAACAGAUCAUGCCCCAUGUAUCUUCCUCUUAAACUUAAAAUUUCUUUCAUGAGGCCAUAGAAUAACUAUCCUUACGCAUGAACAAGUAGCUGGCAAAUCAAAAAUGGAACUAGUGCAAUUCAUGGUUUGGAGGCUUUUGCCCAGUUUGCUUAUGUUUGAGCAACAUGAACUUUCUUUGAAGCUUAGGUGAGGUCUAGCUAAAAUGCCGAACACAAAUAGAGAUGUGCCUUUCAGAACAGACUAUUAAAGAAACAUUCCAAAAAAAGAAGGUUGCAUUUACAUUGCCACAUAUUAACAAAUCCAGAUUGAAGUUGAAGUGCCACAUUAUAGAAUAUUAACAAGUCGAUCACAUCUAGAAGAGAGGAAAAAACAAUCAAAGUUCAAUUGAUUUGAGCAAUGCUUUCUUGGUUCAACCCAAAGUUACAUUGCAGAAGCCACAGAUGACAUAUAUCGAGCUGUUCUUCUCACAUGAACAUCAGCACAGAAGAGCGCAGAGUCUGGAAGUUCCUCCAGUUGCGGAUCUUGUUUAUCUGGGAUUUGCUUGCUUAUCUUGUUUGCUUUUUCGGAGUCCGAUGCUUCGAGCUUUUGUUUGCUGCUGUCCUAAUAUCAUUUUGGAUGGAAUGAAAUUGUAUUCAUGGUGGACUUCAGAACCUAGUGCCUUUGUUUGCAGUAUAUAGUGUAUUUGGCACAUUUGAUGGAUGUGAAAGGACUUAUGAUGGUUAGACUACUUAUUUGUUUGGAAAUAUAGUUAUAAAUUUGAUGAAUAUAUUUCGUUUUCUUAAUGCCUGCCCUUAAGAGAGAGCUAAACUAGAUGAGAUAUAGAAACAUCUUUUAUUUUCUUAAUUGUUCUUUUCUGGAGAAUACUGGCAUGGUCAUGCAGUCUCCCUUGAAGAUGAAAUCUAAUGUUCAA
RNAcentral lists this long non-coding RNA (1240 nucleotides) under Phoenix dactylifera (date palm). Its description in RNAcentral is "long non-coding RNA (PDAC_LNC002943)". The record is from RNAcentral. Lineage: Eukaryota; Viridiplantae; Streptophyta; Magnoliopsida; Arecales; Arecaceae.